This 600-nucleotide ribosomal RNA is filed under the name Haloferax mucosum. Its description in RNAcentral is "bacterial SSU rRNA". It matches the Rfam family "Archaeal small subunit ribosomal RNA", at positions 30 to 631 of the family's 1478-position model. Lineage: Archaea; Methanobacteriati; Methanobacteriota; Halobacteria; Halobacteriales; Haloferacaceae. The record is from RNAcentral.
GAAGGGGGGGUCGAUUUAGCCAUGCUAGUUGCACGAGUUCACACUCGUGGCGAAAAGCUCAGUAACACGUGGCCAAACUACCCUACAGAGAACGAUAACCUCGGGAAACUGAGGCUAAUAGUUCAUACGGGAGUCAUGCUUGAAUGCCGACUCCCCGAAACGCUCCGGCGCUGUAGGAUGUGGCUGCGGCCGAUUAGGUAGACGGUGGGGUAACGGCCCACCGUGCCAAUAAUCGGUACGGGUUGUGAGAGCAAGAACCCGGAGACGGAAUCUGAGACAAGAUUCCGGGCCCUACGGGGCGCAGCAGGCGCGAAACCUUUACACUGCACGCAAGUGCGAUAAGGGGACCCCAAGUGCGAGGGCAUAUAGUCCUCGCUUUUCACGACUGUAAGGCGGUCGUGGAAUAAGAGCUGGGCAAGACCGGUGCCAGCCGCCGCGGUAAUACCGGCAGCUCAAGUGAUGACCGAUAUUAUUGGGCCUAAAGCGUCCGUAGCCGGCCACGAAGGUUCAUCGGGAAAUCCGCCAGCUCAACUGGCGGGCGUCCGGUGAAAACCACGUGGCUUGGGACCGGAAGGCUCGAGGGGUACGUCUGGGGUAGGA